AGAGCUUCUCGCAUUGAACCGAAGAGGAGAAAAGGGUUUCAUUGUUGGUGGUUUGCGGUGGCCGUGACUUGAGGCUUUGGCGGCGCUGUGGCUUUCGUCUCGGACAAUUGGGCUCACUCCAGACGGAGAUCGACGGCGGAGGGAGAGAGCUUCUCCGACCCGAAAGAGAGGAGGAGAAGGGAACCCGAUACUAGAGUAGGAACGCCCCCGGCGGCGAACGACGACAUCUUGGCCAGCGACUGGCGGUGGUUGGUCUCACCGGUGAUAAGGAACACACAUCCCAGGGAUCAUUUUCUCUCGCGCAC
RNAcentral lists this long non-coding RNA (305 nucleotides) under Vigna radiata. RNAcentral describes it as "long non-coding RNA (VRAD_LNC007960)". Lineage: Eukaryota; Viridiplantae; Streptophyta; Magnoliopsida; Fabales; Fabaceae. The record is from RNAcentral.